RNAcentral lists this ribosomal RNA (301 nucleotides) under uncultured bacterium. Its description in RNAcentral is "partial 16S ribosomal RNA". It matches the Rfam family "Bacterial small subunit ribosomal RNA", at positions 509 to 807 of the family's 1533-position model. The record is from RNAcentral.
CAGUAGCCGCGGGAAUACAGAGGGUGCGAGCGUUAAUCGGAUUUACUGGGCGUAAAGCGUGCGCAGGCGGUUAUAUAAGACAGAUGUGAAAUCCCCGGGCUCAACCUGGGAACUGCAUUUGUGACUGUAUAGCUAGAGUACGGCAGAGGGGGAUGGAAUUCCGCGUGUAGCAGUGAAAUGCGUAGAUAUGCGGAGGAACACCGAUGGCGAAGGCAAUCCCCUGGGCCUGUACUGACGCUCAUGCACGAAAGCGUGGGGAGCAAACAGGAUUAGAUACCCGCGUAGUCCCUGUCUCUUAUAC